Molecule: non-coding RNA, 79 nt
Organism: Desmophyllum pertusum
Lineage: Eukaryota; Metazoa; Cnidaria; Anthozoa; Scleractinia; Caryophylliidae
Source: the annotation of a GenBank genome assembly
GGCCUCGUAGCUUAGUUGGUUAGAGCGACGGUGCGUGAUCUAAUCCGGUGGUCGUGGGUUCAAAAUCCCACCGGGGUCA